ACUUAAAUUGAAGAGUUUGAUCAUGGCUCAGAUUGAACGCUGGCGGCAGGCCUAACACAUGCAAGUCGAGCGGUAGCACAGAGAGCUUGCUCUCGGGUGACGAGCGGCGGACGGGUGAGUAAUGUCUGGGAAACUGCCUGAUGGAGGGGGAUAACUACUGGAAACGGUAGCUAAUACCGCAUAACGUCGCAAGACCAAAGUGGGGGACCUUCGGGCCUCAUGCCAUCAGAUGUGCCCAGAUGGGAUUAGCUAGUAGGUGGGGUAACGGCUCACCUAGGCGACGAUCCCUAGCUGGUCUGAGAGGAUGACCAGCCACACUGGAACUGAGACACGGUCCAGACUCCUACGGGAGGCAGCAGUGGGGAAUAUUGCACAAUGGGCGCAAGCCUGAUGCAGCCAUGCCGCGUGUGUGAAGAAGGCCUUCGGGUUGUAAAGCACUUUCAGCGGGGAGGAAGGCGUUAAGGUUAAUAACCUUGUCGAUUGACGUUACCCGCAGAAGAAGCACCGGCUAACUCCGUGCCAGCAGCCGCGGUAAUACGGAGGGUGCAAGCGUUAAUCGGAAUUACUGGGCGUAAAGCGCACGCAGGCGGUCUGUCAAGUCGGAUGUGAAAUCCCCGGGCUCAACCUGGGAACUGCAUUCGAAACUGGCAGGCUAGAGUCUUGUAGAGGGGGGUAGAAUUCCAGGUGUAGCGGUGAAAUGCGUAGAGAUCUGGAGGAAUACCGGUGGCGAAGGCGGCCCCCUGGACAAAGACUGACGCUCAGGUGCGAAAGCGUGGGGAGCAAACAGGAUUAGAUACCCUGGUAGUCCACGCCGUAAACGAUGUCGAUUUGGAGGUUGUGCCCUUGAGGCGUGGCUUCCGGAGCUAACGCGUUAAAUCGACCGCCUGGGGAGUACGGCCGCAAGGUUAAAACUCAAAUGAAUUGACGGGGGCCCGCACAAGCGGUGGAGCAUGUGGUUUAAUUCGAUGCAACGCGAAGAACCUUACCUGGUCUUGACAUCCACAGAACUUUCCAGAGAUGGAUUGGUGCCUUCGGGAACUGUGAGACAGGUGCUGCAUGGCUGUCGUCAGCUCGUGUUGUGAAAUGUUGGGUUAAGUCCCGCAACGAGCGCAACCCUUAUCCUUUGUUGCCAGCGGUUCGGCCGGGAACUCAAAGGAGACUGCCAGUGAUAAACUGGAGGAAGGUGGGGAUGACGUCAAGUCAUCAUGGCCCUUACGACCAGGGCUACACACGUGCUACAAUGGCAUAUACAAAGAGAAGCGACCUCGCGAGAGCAAGCGGACCUCAUAAAGUAUGUCGUAGUCCGGAUUGGAGUCUGCAACUCGACUCCAUGAAGUCGGAAUCGCUAGUAAUCGUAGAUCAGAAUGCUACGGUGAAUACGUUCCCGGGCCUUGUACACACCGCCCGUCACACCAUGGGAGUGGGUUGCAAAAGAAGUAGGUAGCUUAACCUUCGGGAGGGCGCUUACCACUUUGUGAUUCAUGACUGGGGUGAAGUCGUAACAAGGUAACCGUAGGGGAACCUGCGGUUGGAUCACCUCCUUACCUUAAAGAA
This 1554-nucleotide ribosomal RNA is filed under the name Klebsiella pneumoniae. RNAcentral describes it as "bacterial SSU rRNA". It matches the Rfam family "Bacterial small subunit ribosomal RNA". The record is from RNAcentral. Lineage: Bacteria; Pseudomonadati; Pseudomonadota; Gammaproteobacteria; Enterobacterales; Enterobacteriaceae.